AAAAUUAUAGUAAAAGGAAAAUCCGUUGAUUUCAAAAAAUCGUGAGGGUUCA
RNAcentral lists this transfer RNA (52 nucleotides) under Goodenia stephensonii. RNAcentral describes it as "partial tRNA-Leu". The record is from RNAcentral. Lineage: Eukaryota; Viridiplantae; Streptophyta; Magnoliopsida; Asterales; Goodeniaceae.